CGCGGGGGGGCUAUUACUGGAUCGGGCUGGAGGACGGUGACCGCAACGACACCUGGCGCUGGGUGGACGGCACCGUGUACUCACCGGCCGACAGCUUCUGGGCGCCGGGGCAGCCGGACCGGCAGGACCACGGGGAGCAGGGCCGCGAGGGCUGCGCCCAGAUCCACCCGGUGGGCACCGGGCUCUGGAACGACCACAACUGCAACAUCCCCUUCCUCUGGAUCUGCAAGCGGGACCUGGGGGGGCCCUGAGCGCCCGCGGCCCGACCCUGCGGGGUGAAGCCCCCGCGCCGGGUCCCUGGGGCGAAGCGAGCGCCCAGCGGCGCCCAGCGCUUUGCCUUGAGUUAAAUUGAAUUAAACGUCUGCCCUGCCUCCGUGCCACCUCGUCCCGUGCCCCCCGCCUCGUCCCACCUCCGUGCUGCCCCCGUCCCCCUCUGCCAGCCCCCGGUGCCCCCGUGGCCGCCCCGUCCCUGCCGCGGGGAGCCCCGGGGCGGCACCAGGAGGGGCCGAGCCCCCCGUGCGCAGCCCCCAGCCCCCAGCUGUGGCAGCGGGGGGGCGCAGGAGCUUUGGCAUUUCUCCCCCGACCCGCUCAGCUCCUCCCCGGCCAAAGCGCUGCCGCAGCCCCCCGCAGCUCCAUCGCAGCCGGAGGAGACCUGGAAGACCCCUUCGCUUUGGGGCGCCCGCGUUUCUUCUCCCCGGGGGUCCCGUCCAACCGAACCGAACCGAACUGAACUCUUCUGUUCCAGCCUGUCCUGUCCUGUCCUAUCUUAUCCUAUCCUACCCUGUCCUGUUGUAUCCCAUCGCCAUCCCCAAUCCCAUCCCAUCCCCAAUCCCAUCCCCAAUCCCAUCCCAUCCCCAAUCCCAUCCCCAUCCCAUCCCGUCCCCAAUCCCAUCCCAUCCCCAAUCCCAUCCCCAAUCCGACUCUCAUCCCCAAUCCCAUCCCAUCCCCAUCCCCUCCCCAAUCCCAUUCCCCAUCCCACCCCUCCCCCCACCCACCCCCUUCCCCGCACCCCACCCCAAC
RNAcentral lists this long non-coding RNA (1020 nucleotides) under Anser cygnoides (Swan goose). RNAcentral describes it as "lncRNA (ENSACDG00005014148.1)". Lineage: Eukaryota; Metazoa; Chordata; Aves; Anseriformes; Anatidae. The record is from RNAcentral.